Molecule: ribosomal RNA, 253 nt
Filed under: uncultured bacterium
Lineage: Bacteria
Description: partial 16S ribosomal RNA
Rfam family: Bacterial small subunit ribosomal RNA
Source: RNAcentral
UACGGAGGGUGCAAGCGUUAUCCGGAUUCACUGGGUUUAAAGGGUGCGUAGGUGGGCUAGUAAGUCCGUGGUGAAAUCCCCGAGCUUAACUCGGGAACUGCCGUGGAUACUAUUAGUCUUGAAUAUCGUGGAGGUAAGCGGAAUAUGUCAUGUAGCGAUGAAAUGCUUAGAUAUGACAUAGAACACCAAUUGCGAAGGCAGCUUACUACACAGUCAUUGACACUGAGGCACGAAAGCGUGGGGAUCAAACAGG